RNAcentral lists this ribosomal RNA (497 nucleotides) under uncultured bacterium. Its description in RNAcentral is "partial 16S ribosomal RNA". It matches the Rfam family "Bacterial small subunit ribosomal RNA", at positions 28 to 507 of the family's 1533-position model. The record is from RNAcentral.
GAUGAACGCUGGCGGCGUGCCUAAUACAUGCAAGUCGAGCGAACGGACGAGAAGCUUGCUUCUCUGAUGUUAGCGGCGGACGGGUGAGUAACACGUGGAUAACCUACCUAUAAGACUGGGAUAACUUCGGGAGACCGGAGCUAAUACCGGAUAAUAUUUUGAACCGCAUGGUUCACAAGUGAAAGACGGUCUUGCUGUCACUUAUAGAUGGAUCCGCGCUGCAUUAGCUAGUUGGUAAGGUAACGGCUUACCAAGGCAACGAUGCAUAGCCGACCUGAGAGGGUGAUCGGCCACACUGGAACUGAGACACGGUCCAGACUCCUACGGGAGGCAGCAGUAGGGAAUCUUCCGCAAUGGGCGAAAGCCUGACGGAGCAACGCCGCGUGAGUGAUGAAGGUCUUCGGAUCGUAAAACUCUGUUAUUAGGGAAGAACAUAUGUGUAAGUAACUGUGCACAUCUUGACGGUACCUAAUCAGAAAGCCACGGCUAACUACGUG